Lynx canadensis (Canada lynx) is the source of this 886-nucleotide long non-coding RNA. RefSeq lists it as uncharacterized. The transcript has 2 exons. The record is from RefSeq and is a predicted model, not a curated record. Lineage: Eukaryota; Metazoa; Chordata; Mammalia; Carnivora; Felidae.
AAAGACCCUCCAGGUGGAAAGGGCAGAGCAGCACACCCCUCCCCCCGGUGGAAAAGCAAAAAUCUGUCGUUCCCCACCAUUCAUUGGUCUUAGAACGUUCGUUCGAGGGGGAGAAUGUUGGCGGCGGAGACGGAGAGAAGUGCUUGGCAGUAAGUGGCCCAACGUCUUGCCUUGGAAGCGCCUGCAGCCUCCCGCUAACGGCGUCUGCUGUUCCACGGGGUCGGGUGGAUGGCGGGCUUCUCUGUGACCUGCGGCCGCACCUGAGCAGCGACCCCGCUCCAGCGUCCACGCAUAAGUGCAGACGUAAGCUCGGUGGCACUGGCCACGGCAUUUCCACCCUUCUGAGCCCCCGGGAACAGGCUGGUGGCUAAGUCACCUCCACCUAGGGUGUGGCAGGCGGGGUCCGCACGCAGGGGGGAAGGGGCCCUGAGCCCCUCUGUCUGCACGCCUGCCCGCCCCAGCUCUUCCCCACCCCCUCACCCUGCACAGUUCAGCACAAACGCCACUUCCUCCAUGAAGCCCUUGCAGAUUCUCCUGCAGGAAACCACCCCGCGGCCUCUGCACCGCAGCCCCACCUCUGCGCCUCUUCUGGAACAUUCGUUACCGUCCAGCUCGCUCCGCUGUUUCUUCCGUCCGCGCUCACGUGCUUCCCGGCCUGGCUGUCGGUUCCUCGCCGGCCGCCGGGAGUUCGUUCCAAGUUUUGCUUUUCCCUGGUACUUAGCCAGUGAUUCGAGCGGAGGGGGUCCUCGAUAAAUAGUCGGGUAAUGAUCGCAUUGUGGGGGGAGUGGCGAUCUGAGAAGAAAUCCGAUCCGGGCUUAAAAGCUCCCGUCUCAAGCUUGUGGCUUUGGAAGAGAGGAGAGUAAAAUCAGUUUUUAUUGAAUGUGUC